GACGAACGCUGGCGGCGUGCCUAAUACAUGCAAGUUGAGCGAUGAAGAUUGGUGCUUGCACCAAUUUGAAGAGCAGCGAACGGGUGAGUAACGCGUGGGGAAUCUGCCUUUGAGCGGGGGACAACAUUUGGAAACGAAUGCUAAUACCGCAUAAUAACUUUAAACAUAAGUUUUAAGUUUGAAAGAUGCAAUUGCAUCACUCAAAGAUGAUCCCGCGUUGUAUUAGCUAGUUGGUGAGGUAAAGGCUCACCAAGGCGAUGAUACAUAGCCGACCUGAGAGGGUGGGCGGCCACAUUGGGACGGAGACAGGACCAAACUUCCAAGGGGGGGCGGCAGUAGGGACUCUUGGGCAAUGGAGGAAAGUCUGACCGAGAAACGCGGAGGGAGUAAGGAGGGUUUCCGGAUGGUAAAACUGUGUUGGAGGAGAAGAACGUGGGGGAGGGUGGAAAGCACAUAAAGGGACGGAAACUACCAAAAAAGGAACGGCAAACUACGGG
Molecule: ribosomal RNA, 497 nt
Filed under: uncultured bacterium
Lineage: Bacteria
Description: partial 16S ribosomal RNA
Rfam family: Bacterial small subunit ribosomal RNA
Source: RNAcentral